UACGGAGGGUGCAAGCGUUAUUCGGAUUUAUUGGGCGUAAAGGGCGCGUAGGCGGUCUCUAAAGUCAGAUGUGAAAGCCCGAGGCUUAACCUUGGAAGUGCAUUUGAAACUUAGGGACUUGAGUAUGGGAGAGGGAAGUGGAAUUCCUGGUGUAGCGGUGAAAUGCGUAGAUAUCAGGAGGAACACCAGUGGCGAAGGCGACUUCCUGGACCAAUACUGACGCUGAGGCGCGAAGGCGUGAGUAGCAAACAGG
This 253-nucleotide ribosomal RNA is filed under the name uncultured bacterium. RNAcentral's name for it is "partial 16S ribosomal RNA". It matches the Rfam family "Bacterial small subunit ribosomal RNA", at positions 524 to 776 of the family's 1533-position model. The record is from RNAcentral.